Molecule: RNA transcript, 813 nt
Organism: Belonocnema kinseyi
Lineage: Eukaryota; Metazoa; Arthropoda; Insecta; Hymenoptera; Cynipidae
Gene name: trypsin-3-like
Exons: 4
Source: RefSeq, a predicted model, not a curated record
GAUCUUUUCUGAGAGAAGGGACUGAUAAAAAAAAGUUUUGUAUGUGGCUUUAUCGGUCGCUCCGAAUGUUGUGAAACGGGCGAGAUGAAAAUCUUUCAAACAUGAUGUAACCAUUAAAAUAAAAGCAUGACUUGCGGUAUUAAAUCGGUAAAAUAAAAUUUUUUGGUGUCAUGAUAGAUUUGGAUAGUAUAACUGUCUUUCAAAUUAAGGAAUACCUAGUGGAAUUUUCCGAAAGAAGCUAUGGGCAAUUUUCACUGCUGCGCUCAAAAGAAGAAAAAGAACUGGAGAGGAAGAUCCUUCAAUAUUGAGAUCAGUUUUAGUGAGCGUUAUCAGUCAGGAGCAAUGUCAAUCUAUCUACAACAACAGUUUUCAUAUUACUGAUAAACAUAUUUGUGCUCGCCAUGAUUUAAAAUAUAGUUCCGGUGAUCAUGGUAAUUCUUUAGUCGUCCAGAAUCAUCUGGCUGGCCUUUUUCUUUGGAGAGGUUCUUCUGGUCCUGAUGUGUUUGUUAAGUUAUCUGGUCGUAUGGAUUACAGAAAUUGGAUCAAUCUAAACAUGGAACGCUAUAUAUGAAGACAAAUGUUUGUGACUGAGCUAAAACAUGGCCUAUAAGCACGAUCUGUAAAGUAUUCUUAUUUUCAUUCAAUAUUAUCCUCGUCAGAAAAUUUGUGUGUUUAUUGGUAGUCCUAAGUUCUGAGAGAUGGCAUUGUUAUCCUUAAAUUCAAUGAUCCAGCUGGAUCCAGCUGCGAGAUUUCAGGUCAGGAAUAAUACCAGAGUUAUUAUCGAUAAGAGCGAUUUUCUUGAAACUGAAGGAA